GAUGAACGCUGGCGGCGUGCCUAAUACAUGCAAGUCGAGCGAACGGACGAGAAGCUUGCUUCUCUGAUGUUAGCGGCGGACGGGUGAGUAACACGUGGAUAACCUACCUAUAAGACUGGGAUAACUUCGGGAAACCGGAGCUAAUACCGGAUAAUAUUUUGAACCGCAUGGUUCAAAAGUGAAAGACGGUCUUGCUGUCACUUAUAGAUGGAUCCGCGCUGCAUUAGCUAGUUGGUAAGGUAACGGCUUACCAAGGCAACGAUGCAUAGCCGACCUGAGAGGGUGAUCGGCCACACUGGAACUGAGACACGGUCCAGACUCCUACGGGAGGCAGCAGUAGGGAAUCUUCCGCAAUGGGCGAAAGCCUGACGGAGCAACGCCGCGUGAGUGAUGAAGGUCUUCGGAUCGUAAAACUCUGUUAUUAGGGAAGAACAUAUGUGUAAGUAACUGUGCACAUCUUGACGGUACCUAAUCAGAAAGCCACGGCUAACUACGUGCCAGCAGCCGCGGUAAUACGUAGGUGGCAAGCGUUAUCCGGAAUUAUUGGGCGUAAAGCGCGCGUAGGCGGUUUUUUAAGUCUGAUGUGAAAGCCCACGGCUCAACCGUGGAGGGCCAUUGGAAACUGGAAAACUUGAGUGCAGAAGAGGAAAAGUGGAAUUCCAUGUGUAGCGGUGAAAUGCGCAGAGAUAUGGAGGACACCCAGUGGCGAAGGCGACUUUCUGGUCUGUAACUGACGCUGAUGUGCGAAAGCGUGGGGAUCAAACAGGAUUAGAUACCCUGGUAGUCCACGCCGUAAACGAUGAGUGCUAAGUGUUAGGGGGUUUCCGCCCCUUAGUGCUGCAGCUAACGCAUUAAGCACUCCGCCUGGGGAGUACGACCGCAAGGUUGAAACUCAAAGGAAUUGACGGGGACCCGCACAAGCGGUGGAGCAUGUGGUUUAAUUCGAAGCAACGCGAAGAACCUUACCAAAUCUUGACAUCCUUUGACAACUCUAGAGAUAGAGCCUUCCCCUUCGGGGGACAAAGUGACAGGUGGUGCAUGGUUGUCGUCAGCUCGUGUCGUGAGAUGUUGGGUUAAGUCCCGCAACGAGCGCAACCCUUAAGCUUAGUUGCCAUCAUUAAGUUGGGCACUCUAAGUUGACUGCCGGUGACAAACCGGAGGAAGGUGGGGAUGACGUCAAAUCGUCAUGCCCCUUAUGAUUUGGGCUACACACGUGCUACAAUGGACAAUACAAAGGGCAGCGAAACCGCGAGGUCAAGCAAAUCCCAUAAAGUUGUUCUCAGUUCGGAUUGUAGUCUGCAACUCGACUACAUGAAGCUGGAAUCGCUAGUAAUCGUAGAUCAGCAUGCUACGGUGAAUACGUUCCCGGGUCU
Molecule: ribosomal RNA, 1373 nt
Filed under: uncultured bacterium
Lineage: Bacteria
Description: bacterial SSU rRNA
Rfam family: Bacterial small subunit ribosomal RNA
Source: RNAcentral